Molecule: non-coding RNA, 150 nt
Organism: Caenorhabditis elegans
Lineage: Eukaryota; Metazoa; Nematoda; Chromadorea; Rhabditida; Rhabditidae
Source: Ensembl
AAGGAAAAGAAGAAAGAUGAGCUGUCCACUUGCUCUCACUAACUCACCCGGUUUGCAUUGGGUGCCGACAUCAACAUGAGAGCUGCGGCACAUACAAAUUGAGAACGAAGAGCAAAACUCUCCGGGUCCGCGGCAAUCGCUGUCGAUACG